This 3418-nucleotide long non-coding RNA is filed under the name Capsicum annuum. RNAcentral's name for it is "long non-coding RNA (CANN_LNC005470)". The record is from RNAcentral. Lineage: Eukaryota; Viridiplantae; Streptophyta; Magnoliopsida; Solanales; Solanaceae.
GGGUUAGGGUUAGCAAAAAUAAUACAUCAAUAUGCCAUGCCGAGGUGGAACAAACUUGAAGUACAUCCAUGGAUCCAUUGUGUUGGACUUAAAAAACUUAGUACAAAUGGCACAAAGGAAGUGGUCACCACCAACAAAAAGAGAUAAGGAAGAACCUUGUCUUCCUUCAUUAGCACCCACAACCAAACAUUACUUGUCGUUUUGACCAAGCAUUAAGUGGGGACUAUAGAGAUUUCCAAAUUCCAAGAGGGUGCCAGGAUCAAAUGGAAAAAUUAGCCAAGGGCCUAAGCCGAGGCUAGCCCUUUCUUCCCCUAGAAUGUCACUCCCACAUUCACACACUAAAAUAUUUUCAUUCACAUGGUCUCUAUGAACGAAAAUAAUUGUAAUGCUUUUACCACACAAGAUGUUCAAAGAGUCAAGUGCAUUAUCAAGAUCAAUUCUAUAGACAUCAUCACUAACUUGAUAAUUUUUAAGCACACUAUUCACAUGCUCAAGUAGUGAACUACAUUUAAGAGUAAAUUGAUCAUGCACACCAAGAGGACUACAAGAGUACUCAUUUUCGAGACUACACAUUCCUUUCCCAUAAGAGUACUCUCAUCUUCCAAGAAGAAAUUUCCAUCUUUAGGAGGAAUGUUGUCGCACCAUAGUAGGUUAGCAUAUCGGAUAUAGCCUCCAAGGCAAGCUACACCAUCAUUUUCACCACUAAGUCCAUUAGGAGUGCUUAUAUCAUCUUCAAACAAGACAUUAAACCUAAAGAGAUCAUGAUCUAUCUCGCGGAUAGAUUUGGAACUAGUAAGUGAUUCACUCUCUAUAAGUUCACUAUCAAGUACCAAAGAUGUUUCAAUCUCCUCUUUACCUUGGUGUGGGUCGGGGCAUCCCACCUCUUCCUUUGGGAAGCUCUCAGCACAAAGUGUUUGAACAAGGGAAGUUGGAUUUUGUGGGAUAAGUUUAGGUAACAAUUGGCGUAGCCUUUCCACGUGCCAUUUCAUUUCUUCAAUAUCGUCAUUGAUGCGAUCAAACGUGGCAUCAAGAUUAGUGGAAUCCAUGGUACCUAAAGCAAAGGACAAUAACAAACAACAAAACAAACUUGUUAGUUCAAAAUACCUCACUGCACUCUCACUCUCGAUUUUACCUCACACUUGGUUUCACAAGUGUUGAAAGCCGGCUUGUACUUCGCGAGUGAUUGAGGGUGAGUCUACUCCUGCCCGGAAUAGAUUUUCAUUUGAGUUGACUCAAAGAAAAUUUGUUUACGGAAUUGAACCAACAAGAUACAACGAAUUCACAAAAGAAAAAAGCACACAAAGAACGUUAACAUGAACAAACGGAUACAAAACUAAUUUACAAUCUAGUAGGAGUUUACUAGCUUGUCAAUUAGCGUUCGGAUCAAUCAAACGAAACUACGAAACAAUAAAAAGAAACUAAGAAAAUCUCAAAUUUGAGCCAUAAUUGGUGCGUGAACAGUAACAAUGUUGAUGUGGCAGCAUAUAAUUGGUUGCGGUUUCUAACAUUUUUUGUUGUCCAAUUUCAAGUCUUGGUCAAUUUACAAUUUAGGAAUUGGUGGAAUUUAUUUUAAGGAGGGAAAUUCAAACAAGUCUUGGAGACUUUUCAAAUUCAAGUUUUCAAGACUUUGACUUUCUUGUACUUCUCCUUAUAAUAUAAACCCUUGUUUUAUGGAAAGUUGUUGGAAAGUGGUUGAGAUGUGAUUGACUAUUUGAUGAGUGAUGGGAAGUCUUUCAAGACUAACAAAGCUUCACCCCUUUUCCCUUCACCUUUUAUAGAUCUAAUGGUCACUUUAUAUUAACAAGCUAUGAAGGUUGUGAAGAACUUCAAGAACAACAUCAACAAUCACCCAGAACAACCAACAACAAUCUCCAAAAAUACCACAAUUUUCACACGGCCAACUUCUAAUUUUCACAAUACAAUAUCUUCAGCACUUGGCCAAGACAACUACAAUUUCAACAAAAUGGUUCUUAGGCCACCAAUGAACAAUAAUAUCACGUGGAUAAGCUAAUAACAACAACAAGAUGAAGACCACAAGACCAAAACAGUCCACCACAACAAUAUUUCAACAACAAUUCGGCCAAGCCUUAUGUUCGCGAACACAACACCAACAAUGUAAGCUCAAACUUAGAUUUAGUCUCAAGAGUGUUAAAGAUGAAGAAAACUAACACAAUAAACAACAAAACAAGUAAAAAUCUCGGCCAAGACACAGCGAUAACACAACUUUAGCCAAGAACACAAAAUGGACAGAUUUGCUUCUUUUUUUCUGGAAUUUUCAGAUUUUAAUUUUUUUCAAGUGAGCUAGCCCAAGAUUUGAUCUUGUAGGAACAAGAUCAAGCCAUUCUUUGAUACCAAUUGAUACGGGAAAAACAACAGAAACACAAAACAACUCCAAAAUAGUCCACUAAUCUUAAGGAUUUGAGGACUAAGAUGGAGAACACUCUCGGAUUCACUACAACAACAACAAUAUGAGAUAACAAAGGUUCAUUUAACACCAAAAACAGCAGAAACACAAUGAUAACAAGAUGAACACAAUGAGAACAAAUUUCGGAUUCAAGAAGGACACAAAACAGUCUACUAUGAAUCUACAAAGUGCAAUAAGAUAAAGAUAGAUAGAUAGAUCAAAUGAGGGAAUAAUAUUAACAACCCAAGACUUGUUACACUCUUGGACCUUAAUACCUAACUCCUAUGUUGGCACAAGAGUGACCUCUAUCUCCCAAGCAUCCAACGUGUCCAAGCUUGAAUCAAACACGAGUGAUUCCACACUCAAGUUGAUUUUCCUAGUUACAAGUUUCAGAUUUGUGGUCUUCUCUCCUUAGAGAGGAAAUGUUUCUAAGUGUUGUACACUAUUCAUAUUCAUUAAAAACUAAGACAAAAAUGACCUACAAUGUUCUAUUUAUACUAGGUUACAAAUAGAAUACAAAAUGACCAAAAGGCCCUUUAAUGAAAAGCCUCAAAUGUCGCCCAUGGAGUGUAGUGUAGGUUCGGUUUUGGUGUAUGUUUUAGGCCCUCUUUUGCAUUUUUCUUGCACACUCCAAGCCUCGGGUUCAUUACACUUUAACACAUCCAUCCUCGUGGUCAUACUUGUAUCAUCCUCUCCUUCUUGAAAAGGAUUCGACCUCGAAUCCGUACCUUACAAAAUCAAGAGAAGACAAACAAGCACACACCCUCAUGACAUGAGGGGUUAGGGUUAGCAAAAAUAACACAUCAAUAUGCCAUGCUGAGAUGGAACAAACUUGAAGUAAAUCCAUGGAUCCUUUGUGUUGGACUUAAGAAACUUAGUACAAAUGGCACAAAGGAAGUGGUCACCACCAACAAAAAGAGAUAAGGAAGAACCUUGUCUUCCUUCAUUAGCACCCACAACCAAACAUUACUUGUCGUUUUGACCAAGCAUUAAGUGGGGACUGUAGAGAUUUCC